GGGGGGGGGGGGGGGGGGGGGGGGGGGGGGGGGGGGGGGGGGGGGGGGGGGGGUGGGGCGGGCGGGGGGGGGGGAAGGGGUGGGUAAUGGAUGGGGGCGUGCCCAGUGGUGGGGGAGGGGUGGGGGAAGGCCGGGUUAAUACCGCAUCCGACCUGCGGGUGGACGGGGUGGAUCUUCGGACACAGCGCUAGUGGAGCGGCCGAUGCCAGAUUAGCUAGGUGGUGGGGUAAAGGCCUACCCCGGCGACGGUCUGCAGCUGGUCUGAGAGGACGGCCAGCCACAGUGGCACUGCGACACGGCCCAGACUCCGACGGGAGGCAGCAGUGGGGAAUUUUGGACAAUGGGCGCAAGCCUGAUCCAGCAAUGCCGCGUGUGUGAUGAAGGCCUUCGGGUUGUAAAGCACUUUUGGCGGGAACGAAAAGGACUGUGCCAAUACCACGUUUCGAUGACGGUACCCGCAGAAUAAGCACCGGCUAACUACGUG
RNAcentral lists this ribosomal RNA (484 nucleotides) under uncultured bacterium. RNAcentral's name for it is "partial 16S ribosomal RNA". The stretch from base 55 to 484 matches the Rfam family "Bacterial small subunit ribosomal RNA", at positions 39 to 507 of the family's 1533-position model. The record is from RNAcentral.